RNAcentral lists this long non-coding RNA (1504 nucleotides) under Salvia miltiorrhiza (redroot sage). RNAcentral's name for it is "long non-coding RNA (SMIL_LNC005732)". Lineage: Eukaryota; Viridiplantae; Streptophyta; Magnoliopsida; Lamiales; Lamiaceae. The record is from RNAcentral.
UCAUGCGCGAGAUGUGCAUAAAUACCAGCCCUGCCUCUUCCAUUUCAUGCUCAAUACAUUGGAGCUCUUGUUAUCAAGGGCUUUUCUUUUGUUCUCUUGUAGUGGCUUUUUUUCUGCUUCAUUGGGAUAUUCUCAUAGUUGCUGAUGAAUUUGUCAGGAGUGUUUACAGGUUCAACCUAACUCACCUCUGAUUUUUUGUGAUUGUGUUUGCUUUCUGGUUGAUAGUCUAUAUUGAAUUUUGGUUUGGGGCUUUCUCCUUUGAUGUAUUACAAUUCUCUCCAUUGGUUGUUUCUUUUGUGUUUCUGCUCUUUUUUUUAAUUAUGCUUUUAGCCUUCUGUGAUCUGCUUUUGGCCAUUUUUAUGGACAUUGUUACCUCCAGUUCAGUAAUGUCUAACCAAAAUCUUGUGUACACUCGCGCACACACACACACACACGUCUCAUACCCAAGAAGAAAUAAAGCGCUGAUAAAUUUUUGGUUCUUGGUAUGACUUAACAAAUAAGUUAUUGACGAUGAUUGAAUUUCCAUGUUUUGCAGGGCUUGGAGAUAGAAAAUGGAAAUCCCUUAUGAAUCUGAUGGGAGAAGCUCUUGGGGGGAAUGAAGGAGUUGCAGAUGCAAUGAACAAGAAUAAGAGGCACCUAAGUGGUGGUAUUCCUCCCCUUUAUAAAGAAACAGGUAUUGCUGCCCUCCGCCCCCGAGAAAAUAAAAAUGAAACGAUAAGAAACAGAGUUUGAAGCUGUAUCUUGCUUUCACCUUCAGUUUAGUUCUGUAAACCUUUCCCUAAACACGAUCCAUUUAUCCCCCCGUUCCCACGAGGAGUCGAGAACUGAUGACGAGCAUAUCUUACUUUCAGAAGUUUGAAGCUGUUGGUUAAUUCUUGAUGUUUGUUUGCAACACUGAUGCAAAUUGUUUGUUGUGUAGGAUGGUACUAUCCAUUCAUUACGAUAUGAAGAAAUCGCUUGUUAACCCGACGUCAUAUGGGCUGGAAGACUCAAAUGAGGCGGAGGGAAGCUGCGUCUUUAGGCGAGGGCGCAAGCUCGAUGCUAACACGAGGCCUCGUCUACCGGCGUCUAGCUUCUUUACCUCACGUCUUCCAUUCCCGCCUUUGCCUGUCUCCGAGAGAUCGAGGCAAGACCACAGGCUCGAGGCUGUGUCAUCACCAAAAUCAAGAAGAUGGACUACAUCUUCUGUCUAAGAAUAUAAGAUGCGCCUCAUUACUAUGUUUAGAGUUUUUAGUUAUUUAAAUUCAUAUGGUUUGCAUCGCUGCUGCCUGCUGGUUUUUUGCGAUGGUAACUGCAGUAGCAUAAGGUUUGUCUGUGUCAAUUUUCUAGUGUAGAUGUGAUGACUUCAACCCCCAACUUAAUGAUUGGAAGGGAAGCGUCCUAUCUAGUCCUAUCGAGAAACGUCUUAGCAAUUGAAUUGUGCUUUUUAGGGUGUGUUCUAUUUGGUUGUAAAUUUAUCAUGAGAAAUGAAUGAAAAAGAAAAAGAUGGAAUUUUUUUUUAUCA